UAUGGGUGGUGGUGCAUGGCCGUUCUUAGUUGGUGGAGUGAUUUGUCUGGUUAAUUCCGUUAACGAACGAGACCCCCGCCUGCUAAAUAGUUGGGCGAAUGCUUAGCAUUGGCUGCAGCUUCUUAGAGGGACUUUCGGUGACUAACCGAAGGAAGUUGGGGGCAAUAACAGGUCUGUGAUGCCCUUAGAUGUCCUGGGCCGCACGCGCGCUACACUGACACAAGCAACGAGUCUUCCUUGUCCGAAAGGUCCGGGUAAUCUUGUAAAUUUGUGUCGUGAUAGGGAUAGAUUAUUGCAAUUAUUAAUCUUGAACGAGGAAUUCCUAGUAAAUGCGGGUCAUCAGCUCGCGUUGAUUACGUCCCUGCCCUUUGUACACACCGCCCGUCGCACCUACCGAUUGAAUGAUGAGGUGAAAAUCUCGGACAGAGAUUCGGACACCCUCGGGUGACUUGAUUUUUGGAAGUUAUUAAACCUUUCAUUAGAGAAGUAAGUCUACAUCC
This 500-nucleotide ribosomal RNA is filed under the name uncultured Chrysophyceae. RNAcentral's name for it is "SSU rRNA". It matches the Rfam family "Eukaryotic small subunit ribosomal RNA", at positions 1269 to 1790 of the family's 1831-position model. The record is from RNAcentral. Lineage: Eukaryota; Chrysophyceae.